Leptidea sinapis is the source of this 74-nucleotide non-coding RNA. Lineage: Eukaryota; Metazoa; Arthropoda; Insecta; Lepidoptera; Pieridae. The record is from the annotation of a RefSeq genome assembly.
GAACGUUUAGCUCAGUUGGAAAGAGCGCUCGCUCAGAACGCGAGAGGUCGCGGGUUCGAGUCCCGUAUCGUUCA